Molecule: transfer RNA, 74 nt
Filed under: Candidatus Dadabacteria bacterium
Lineage: Bacteria; Pseudomonadati; Thermodesulfobacteriota; Candidatus Dadabacteria
Description: tRNA-Arg
Rfam family: tRNA
About the family: Transfer RNA (tRNA) molecules are approximately 80 nucleotides in length. Their secondary structure includes four short double-helical elements and three loops (D, anti-codon, and T loops).
Source: RNAcentral
GCACCAGUAGCUCAGCUGGACAGAGCAACCGCCUUCUAAGCGGUGGGUCAGAGGUUCGAAUCCUCUCUGGUGCG